GACAGAGGGUGCAAACGUUGUUCGGAAUUACUGGGCGUAAAGCGCGUGUAGGCUGCUCGGAAAGUCGGAUGUGAAAGCCCUGGGCUUAACCUGGGAAGUGCAUUCGAAACUUCCGAGCUGGAGUUCUGGAGAGGAAGGCGGAAUUCUCGGUGUAGAGGUGAAAUUCGUAGAUAUCGAGAGGAACACCGGUGGCGAAGGCGGCCUUCUGGACAGUGACUGACGCUGAGACGCGAAAGCGUGGGGAGCAAACAGG
RNAcentral lists this ribosomal RNA (253 nucleotides) under uncultured bacterium. Its description in RNAcentral is "partial 16S ribosomal RNA". It matches the Rfam family "Bacterial small subunit ribosomal RNA", at positions 524 to 776 of the family's 1533-position model. The record is from RNAcentral.